AGCGCAGGCGGGAAACUAAGCGGAUCUUAAAAGUGCGGGGCUCAACCCCGUGAUGGGGUCCGAACUGGUUUUCUUGAGUGCAGGAGAGGAAAGCGGAAUUCCCAGUGUAGCGGUGAAACGCGUAGAUAUUGGGAAGAACACCAGUGGCGAAGGCGGCUUUCUGGACUGUAACUGACGCUGAGGCUCGAAAGCUAGGGUAGCGAACG
RNAcentral lists this ribosomal RNA (206 nucleotides) under uncultured bacterium. RNAcentral describes it as "partial 16S ribosomal RNA". It matches the Rfam family "Bacterial small subunit ribosomal RNA", at positions 568 to 774 of the family's 1533-position model. The record is from RNAcentral.